AUGCUGGGGAGGGGUGUGUGCGCACGGUUUACAACCGUGUCGCAAUUUAAGCUCGAACAGGCACACAGGCCUACCUUGAGCACCCACAAGCAGAGCCACCAUUUUACAUAUCACCCAGAGGAAGAGGAGGUGCCUCCUGCCUUGCUCUGGCCCUGUCAGUCACGGGCAGGAAUUCAGGUUGCCGCUUUGCACACUCAGUCACCUCAGGGCCUGGCAGCUCUGGGCCUGUGCUGGCUGCUCCACCCCAGGGCUCGACCCCUCCGCCUGCUCUUCUGGGGCUGGGCAGGCUGCUUGUGCUCAGGGUUCUCCUCAGCUCUCACAGGCCAAAGGUGGCUGCUGUCUUCAGGGUGGCCUCAAGUACGGCCAGGAGCGGACAGUUCCGGCCUGCCUGGCCCCAGCAGCAGGGCAUGUCAGAGCAGCCUGUGGCCAGGGAAAGCACACAGCUACUACUGAGGACUGCAAAGAGACCAGUGGCGUAAUUCAGGAAAGAGGCUGAGCAGAAAAGUCAAGCAGCAGAUGAUGCUGUUGUCUGAGCUGGGUAGCUGUGUACUUGGGUAAGUUGCCCAGCAUGCCAGCACAUGACAUGGUGCUCACAGAGAUUUGUUGUGUUCCCUUCUCCUCCCCCAGCAAAGCAGCCUCAGUUCAGGAGUUGUGAGUUCAAUUCCAUAGCAUUUGAAAAUGACAGUGAUCUCUAUUUGCUGUCCUGCUUCUGAACAUGGACUUUCUUAUGUUCCUUGCCUCCCUACUUGCUUUCCAAAAUGUUAUCGAAAGCUGAUGGGGACUUUCAGGGUCAUCAGUAAACAGACAACAGUUAUAAAAGCUUGUUGAGAUCUGUCAUUGUUGAGGGCUGAUGGUUUUCAGUGGAGAACUUUGGAGAAUACCCACUUGGGGAUGGAUGCUGGGGUGUGAAACCAUGGAAAGAGGGAUUAAAAGGCAUCCCGCUUUUCCAAGUGUGAUCCUGCCCAAAGAAAAUGGGCCAGCGCAGACAAUCUGGCAGCUGAAUAAUUCUGUGGUUGCUCCAUUGUUUGCAGAGACAGAAGUAUGCCUAUGCCCUUCUUGUGCUCUAAUUUGUGUAGGGAACAGGUCGGUUGCAGCCCUGUGCAGAGUGUUUGCUGAGGUGGAGAAUAUCUUGUUGAUCUUUCUAACCGCAGCAUGACCUACCAGCAGGCUCCCGUGUAGAAUUCUGCUAGUGUGCAAAUAAAUCUUGGUUCUAAUUGCA
RNAcentral lists this long non-coding RNA (1219 nucleotides) under Anser cygnoides (Swan goose). Its description in RNAcentral is "lncRNA (ENSACDG00005004182.1)". Lineage: Eukaryota; Metazoa; Chordata; Aves; Anseriformes; Anatidae. The record is from RNAcentral.